GCGAGAAAGCCCUUCGGGGUGAGUAGAGCGGCGGACGGGUGAGUAACGCGUAGGAAUCUACCCAGUGGUGGGGGACAACAUGGGGAAACCCAUGCUAAUACCGCAUACGCCCUACGGGGGAAAGCGGGGGACCUUCGGGCCUCGCGCCAUUGGAAGAGCCUGCGUUGGAUUAGCUUGUUGGUGAGGUAAAGGCUCACCAAGGCGACGAUCCAUAGCUGGUCUGAGAGGAUGAUCAGCCACACUGGGACUGAGACACGGCCCAGACUCCUACGGGAGGCAGCAGUGGGGAAUAUUGCACAAUGGAGGAAACUCUGAUGCAGCCAUGCCGCGUGUGUGAAGAAGGCCUUAGGGUUGUAAAGCACUUUCAAUUGGGAAGAAAAGCUGUUGGCUAAUACCCAACAGCCCUGACAUUACCUUUAGAAGAAGCACCGGCUAACUCCGUGCCAGCAGCCGCGGUAAUACGGAGGGUGCGAGCGUUAAUCGGAAUUACUGGGCGUAAAGCGCGCGUAGGCGGCGUGUUAAGUCGGAUGUGAAAGCCCCGGGCUCAACCUGGGAACUGCACCCGAUACUGGCAGGCUAGAGUACGAGAGAGGGAGGU
Molecule: ribosomal RNA, 598 nt
Filed under: Parahaliea aestuarii
Lineage: Bacteria; Pseudomonadati; Pseudomonadota; Gammaproteobacteria; Cellvibrionales; Halieaceae
Description: bacterial SSU rRNA
Rfam family: Bacterial small subunit ribosomal RNA
Source: RNAcentral